Molecule: ribosomal RNA, 515 nt
Filed under: uncultured bacterium
Lineage: Bacteria
Description: partial 16S ribosomal RNA
Rfam family: Bacterial small subunit ribosomal RNA
Source: RNAcentral
GAUGAACGCUGGCGGCGUGCCUAAUACAUGCAAGUCGAGCGAAUGGAUUAAGAGCUUGCUCUUAUGAAGUUAGCGGCGGACGGGUGAGUAACACGUGGGUAACCUGCCCAUAAGACUGGGAUAACUCCGGGAAACCGGGGCUAAUACCGGAUAAUAUUUUGAACUGCAUGGUUCAAAAUUGAAAGGCGGCUUCGGCUGUCACUUAUGGAUGGACCCGCGUCGCAUUAGCUAGUUGGUGAGGUAACGGCUCACCAAGGCAACGAUGCGUAGCCGACCUGAGCGGGUGAUCGGCCACACUGGGACUGAGACACGGCCCAGACUCCUACGGGAGGCAGCAGUAGGGAAUCUUCCGCAAUGGACGAAAGUCUGACGGAGCAACGCCGCGUGAGUGACGAAGGCUUUCGGGUCGUAAAACUCUGUUGUUAGGGAAGAACAAGUGCUAGUUGAAUAAGCUGGCACCUUGACGGUACCUAACCAGAAAGCCACGGCUAACUACGUGCCAGCAGCCGCGGUAA